This 430-nucleotide ribosomal RNA is filed under the name uncultured bacterium. Its description in RNAcentral is "bacterial SSU rRNA". It matches the Rfam family "Bacterial small subunit ribosomal RNA", at positions 354 to 796 of the family's 1533-position model. The record is from RNAcentral.
GUGGGGAAUAUUGCACAAUGGGCGAAAGCCUGAUGCAGCAACGCCGCGUGAGGGACGACGGCCUUCGGGUUGUAAACCUCUUUUAGUAGGGAAGAAGCGAAAGUGACGGUACCUGCAGAAAAAGCACCGGCUAACUACGUGCCAGCAGCCGCGGUAAUACGUAGGGUGCAAGCGUUAUCCGGAAUUAUUGGGCGUAAAGAGCUCGUAGGCGGUUUGUCACGUCUGCUGUGAAAACUGGAGGCUCAACCUCCAGCCUGCAGUGGGUACGGGCAGACUAGAGUGCGGUAGGGGAGAUUGGAAUUCCUGGUGUAGCGGUGGAAUGCGCAGAUAUCAGGAGGAACACCGAUGGCGAAGGCAGAUCUCUGGGCCGUAACUGACGCUGAGGAGCGAAAGCAUGGGGAGCGAACAGGAUUAGAAACCCUUGUAGUCC